Molecule: non-coding RNA, 88 nt
Organism: Glycine soja
Lineage: Eukaryota; Viridiplantae; Streptophyta; Magnoliopsida; Fabales; Fabaceae
Source: Rfam
AUUUUAUUGGAUGAUGACUGUCAUAUAUCAUGUUUUGAUUAAUGAAAACAACAAUGCAUUUCAAGAUGACACGUGACAUUCAUCAUCC